UCCACUCGAUAUCCUCGUCCAUUUUCUUUUUCCCUUUCCUCGAUGACACUUUCGGCGCUAUAUUAGCUACGGAAAAAUUAACACAACAUUUAAGAUCAUUAAUAUCACAUUCUUAAGAUUUCCAUGUAACUUUUUCAAAAAUUCCAAUUUAGUCCUUCCACCAUAACCAUUCUUUUUCUUCAAAAUUAACUUAAGUUUUCAUCUUCAUACUUGGUUAAAAUAAAUUCCAGCAUUUCAUGUUCAACAUAAAACUUAAAUUCUGAAUUUCUUUCAACUUAGUCCUUACUAUAUCAAAACUUAACUCUCUCUUUACGAUUUAAUCCUUAUAUCAUUUCUAACUUGAAUUUCUAUCAAUUUAGCCUUUAAUUCAUCUUUUUAUUCAAC
RNAcentral lists this long non-coding RNA (384 nucleotides) under Gossypium barbadense (sea-island cotton). RNAcentral's name for it is "long non-coding RNA (GBAR_LNC003867)". Lineage: Eukaryota; Viridiplantae; Streptophyta; Magnoliopsida; Malvales; Malvaceae. The record is from RNAcentral.